Long non-coding RNA from Prunus avium (sweet cherry), 893 nucleotides. RefSeq lists it as uncharacterized. NCBI's taxonomy places the organism in Eukaryota, Viridiplantae, Streptophyta, Magnoliopsida, Rosales, Rosaceae. The record is from RefSeq and is a predicted model, not a curated record.
AAAUAUGACCUUUUUAGACAUUUCCUUCAUUUUAGUUUUCCUUCAGACCAGAACAUUCUCAUCGCUUCCCUCUCCCUCUCCCUCUCUCACAAUUUUAGGAUUCUCUCACUGGACCAUUCAAGAGCUCCAGCUCCUUGUUCGCUAGAAGACUAUUGCUCGAGCCCUAUUACUUCAAAGUUGAAUGCUCAGUGACAGUCCCAGUGAUUGCUCAGGGAAUCAAUGCCGGAGAUAUUAAUAAGUUUGAAGACGUUGGGAUCUACACCUGCAAUGGCUUGAUGAUGCAUAUGAAGAAGAACUUGACUGGAAUCAAAGGUUUAUCUGAGGCUAAAAUUGAUAAGAUAUGUGAAGCUGCUGAAAACCAUUUCAGCUAAGAGAUUUUAUAUCUCAUAUGUGUUCCUUGAUUGUAAGCAUUUAUGUUGCUGAAAUGUUCAGAGACAAAUUCAACUUGUUAUUCAUAGUUUGAGAGAGGCUCUAGAUGGCGCUGACAGGUUCCAGAAUACCCAUCAAAGGCAACAAUUUCAAUCUGCAGAAUUUAGUAUAGAUCAGGUUGUAUUCAUUCUAGAGUCGCAAAGGACAUACUUCUUUUGGAUGAUAUGGCAGCAGAGGAAACAUUAGAGGUGGCCAUUGCCGCAGAUCAAGUGUGAGUUUGAUUCUUGUUAGAUGAUGUCUACGGCCAGUGCUAUCGUGAGGUUUUUGCAUAGGUUACGUUGUAGGUUUGUCAUUACUAUUAUGAGUGAAUGAGUUGGAGGCUGUGUACAAGUUAAUUGUAGAUUUGGCAGCCCUAUUAUUUGUUUCUUUAAUACUCUAUAGUGUUUCUUUAAUACUCUAUAGAGUUUGUAUUUGGAAUUGAUUAUUAUUGGUAUAGUUUUCAAUGAAAUGGUUCUUUCUUUCAA